ACGGCCAUACCAUGCUGAAAACACCGAAGUCAUCGAUGCUGAUCACAGAAGUUAAGCAUCAUCGGGCGCGGUCUGUACUUGGGAGGGUGACCACCUGGGAACACCACGUGUCG
Trichonephila clavata is the source of this 113-nucleotide non-coding RNA. Lineage: Eukaryota; Metazoa; Arthropoda; Arachnida; Araneae; Nephilidae. The record is from the annotation of a GenBank genome assembly.